UGCUAGCUCAAAUUAACUGAACUUGGCACUAGCUGAAUCAGAGGGAUGAAAUGAUUGGAUAUGUUAAUGAAAGGUGAUAAAGGAGACCAAUGGAUAAUGCUUAAAGUAAAACACUGGAAAAGAGCCAAAUUAAGAGGUGUGCUCAUAAUGGGGCUGUUGAACAAAGGAAUACGCUGACAGGAUAAAAUAUGAACAAUAUGCUGAUUGCAGAGAGACCAAUCCAAAAGGAAGGAAUCAUCAAAGGAGUCAAGUUAAAGAAAAGCAUAAAAGGGAAAGAAAGAAGUUGAGUGUGUCGUCGUUGUCGUCAUCAUCAUCAUUUACAUCAUGAAUCCAGCUUUCAACACCUGUCUGGAUCAUCCCAGCCAAUGACGCACCCUUUGCCCUUUGUUUCAGGAACUGAGUGGCCGUCUUUUCUGUGAGGCAAAUUAACUUCUGGGAUUGGACUUACUGAAGAGGAAAACAGCAGAAAUAACAUCUAUAUUUCAAAUGAAUUUAUUGCUGCAUAAAACAAUACAUUACAGAGUUAGCAAGCAUGGUAUGAGGCAAACUUACUGGAAUGAGUAAUAGACCAUUGUAUAAAAACAACACGGAUUUACAGAGAUAUAUCCAUUGGUAGCAUCGCAAGAGUCAACAUUAGCCUUGGCUUUCAUUCACCCUGUAUAUAAGUGACCUGCAUUGAAAUCCUAUUUUGAAAUUGACAUCACGCAUUUUCAAGACUGCAGCAGAUGUGGGCAAUUUGGAAAGCCAGAACAAGCACAAGGAGUUCAGAACAACCUGAAGGGAUUUGUUUGAAGGAUGGCCUGAAUGUAAACUGAAGAGCCUUGAGACCUAAAGCUCUUAGCACAUCAUAAGGAAGAGGUCAGGAGGAAAUGUGAGGAGGAAACCUCUGGUGAGGAGGUCACUCCAUGCACAGAAUGGACUGAGGGAGGCAACUUGACCCAGAGGAAGAGACACUGGUUACUCAUCAUAGGUGACUCCAUCAUAAGAGGAACAUAGGGCCCCAUCUGUCGCCAGGAUCCCAUGACAUGCAAGGUCUACUGUCUCCCCGGAGCGUGGAUUCAGAAUGUGAGGGAGAUGAUCCCAGCCAUCAUCCAGCCCACUGAGUACAACCCCAUGGUCCUAAUCCAUGUGGGCACUGAUGAUGCAGCCAGGAGCUAUCCAGACUGCCUGAUGAAGGACUACCAAGCGCUGGGGGGGCAAGCUGAAGGAGAUAGGGGCACGAGUGAUCUUCUCAUUGAUCCUUCCAGUGAGCAGGUGUGGAAGAUGCCAUGAGACCUGCAUCUGGGACGUUAGCUUGUGGCUUUGGGAAUGGUGUCUCAUGGUGGGCUUUGGCUUCAUGGAGCACGACCCUCACUUCAGAACAAGAGACAUGCUUGGGUGGGAUGGACUUCACCUCUCCCCCAAAGGUACAGCUCUAAUGUCAUCUGCUGAUCAUACCUGUGCUGGCUGUAAUUGUGCUGUCUCUUCUCACUGCUUCAUUAGCAGUUCCAAGGACUUGUUGGGAAUUGCAGGUAGAAUUUGAUCUCUGUUGUAUUGCCAUUAUAAUGGAGAUUGAUCCCACCACUGUCCCCCAUUGGGAAUUUGAACUGGAACUCCUGCUGGGAUAAGUGAAGUGAACUUGAAUACUGUUCCAUUAUGGGUUUUGUAUCCCAUAGGAGGGGAAAAAGUGUUAAUGUGUCACAGGUUACAGGAACUCUGUGGGAGUCCUUUGAAAAAAAUGAGCUGUUGUGAAUUAGCCAUUGAAGAAUGCUGUCAACAACAAGAUGCAAGAAAAGUUUUGAAUCCAGUUAUGUUUAACAACUGUAUUCUAGCUCACUGAGUCACUUGUAAAAGGAAAAGAAAAUAAUGGAAUGGGGAGAUAAGGCUAAUGUGCAAAGCUCACAAGAGAUUCUGAUCAUAAUCUGAAUCUUCCCAUAGUCUGAUUGUUGUUAUACAUAAGAGACUUUGGGACCAUCUCUAAACAAAUAUAGAAGAAACAACAGAGUUUCAGCUUGGGAAAACUGCAAACUGUCUGCCCAAAGUGCAGUACCCAGCACUGUCCUAGGGAUAGCACUCAGAAGGCAUGCCUACACAUGACACUAUGUCACCAUAGCUAUGUGCUACGGCAAAGUAUUGUCCAUGGGUGUUUACACGUGACCAGCAGCUAUUACACCAUACCGGUGCACUCCCCCAUUAUAGUGCACUGCUAUGUUAGAAUAGCUGCUAAAAAUAACCACACGCUGCAUGUACAGCACGAUAUGGGUGCUUACUGUGCCGUGCUUUAGUACUUUUGGAAGUAGUAAAGCGUAGCACAGUAAUAAUGUCGCCAUAGGGCAACAUGUAUACAUGCCCCAGAGUGUACAGUCUCCCUGAGUGUACAUGGCCUCUGCUUGUUACCCCUGUUGUUUUGCAGAGUACAUAAUUAGGCAUGUUAGCCACACUCUGCAGCAUGCAGCUACAGCUAUUAUUUCCUUUUUAUGUAGAAGUGUACUGGUAGCAACUACCUUAGCCUUGUCCUAUAAAAGUGCUUCCAGGCUGGUAAACAGUAGGAAUGGUUAAAUAGAAUCUCCAUAUUGAAAUUAUGAAAUAGAAAGAAAAAGUUCCUUCAUAAUUUAUUUUUAUGAGGAGAGUGUAACAUUUAUAAUGUCUAUAACUGUUCAUUUUAUCAUUUAUAAUUACUUACAAAACUCACCAAUGUAUUAAAAAUGUUAUAUGGUUUGGAGAAGUAUAACCUUUUUUAUGUUUGGGUCAUUUUUAGAAAUUACCAGGAAUAAACAGGUUGUUAUGAUGCAGCAUAAUGCAUUAUUGACUAUCUUUUAAGACAACUCAUAUGAAGUUCUGAUUUGUAAGAAAACAUCACUUUCUAUGUUUUCUUCUCCUAAAAGCAAACAAUUUCUUCACACAUACUUUAUAAGGGAAGGAAAUAAAAGAAAUGACUUUUCUUACACAUUAGUUCAUAACAGCUUUUUUAAAUGAAGCUGAUUGCAAUAGAUUUCAGUUUUAA
Alligator mississippiensis (American alligator) is the source of this 2983-nucleotide long non-coding RNA. RefSeq lists it as uncharacterized. The record is from RefSeq and is a predicted model, not a curated record. The transcript is spliced from 6 exons. NCBI's taxonomy places the organism in Eukaryota, Metazoa, Chordata, Crocodylia, Alligatoridae.